UGAAACCGUGUACGUACAAGCAGUGGGAGCACCCUUUGGGGUGUGACUGCGUACCUUUUGUAUAAUGGGUCAGCGACUUAUAUUCUGUAGCAAGGUUAACCGAAUAGGGGAGCCGGAGGGAAACCGAGUCUUAAUUGGGCGUUAAGUUGCAGGGUAUAGACCCGAAACCCGGUGAUCUAGCCAUGGGCAGGUUGAAGGUUGGGUAACACUAACUGGAGGACCGAACCGACUAAUGUUGAAAAAUUAGCGGAUGACCUGUGGCUGGGGGUGAAAGGCCAAUCAAACCGGGAGAUAGCUGGUUCUCCCCGAAAGCUAUUUAGGUAGCGCCUCGUGAAUUCAUCUCCGGGGGUAGAGCACUGUUUCGGCUAGGGGGCCAUCCCGGCUUACCAACCCGAUGCAAACUGCGAAUACCGGAGAAUGUUAUCACGGGAGACACACGGCGGGUGCUAACGUCCGUCGUGAAGAGGGAAACAACCCAGACCGCCAGCUAAGGUCCCAAAGUCAUGGUUAAGUGGGAAACGAUGUGGGAAGGCCCAGACAGCCAGGAUGUUGGCUUAGAAGCAGCCAUCAUUUAAAGAAAGCGUAAUAGCUCACUGGUCGAGUCGGCCUGCGCGGAAGAUGUAACGGGGCUAAACUAUGCACCGAAGCUGCGGCAGCGACACUAUGUGUUGUUGGGUAGGGGAGCGUUCUGUAAGCCUGUGAAGGUGUGUCGUGAGGCAUGCUGGAGGUAUCAGAAGUGCGAAUGCUGACAUAAGUAACGAUAAAGCGGGUGAAAAGCCCGCUCGCCGGAAGACCAAGGGUUCCUGUCCAACGUUAAUCGGGGCAGGGUGAGUCGACCCCUAAGGCGAGGCCGAAAGGCGUAGUCGAUGGGAAACGGGUUAAUAUUCCCGUACUUGGUGUUACUGCGAAGGGGGGACGGAGAAGGCUAUGUUGGCCGGGCGACGGUUGUCCCGGUUUAAGCGUGUAGGUGUGUGUUCCAGGUAAAUCCGGUUCACUUUAACACUGAGGCGUGACGACGAGGCACUACGGUGCUGAAGCAACAAAUGCCCUGCUUCCAGGAAAAGCCUCUAAGCAUCAGGUAACAUCAAAUCGUACCCCAAACCGACACAGGUGGUCAGGUAGAGAAUACCAAGGCGCUUGAGAGAACUCGGGUGAAGGAACUAGGCAAAAUGGUGCCGUAACUUCGGGAGAAGGCACGCUGACACGUAGGUGAAGUGAUUUACUCAUGGAGCUGAAGUCAGUCGAAGAUACCAGCUGGCUGCAACUGUUUAUUAAAAACACAGCACUGUGCAAACACGAAAGUGGACGUAUACGGUGUGACGCCUGCCCGGUGCCGGAAGGUUAAUUGAUGGGGUCAGCGCAAGCGAAGCUCCUGAUCGAAGCCCCGGUAAACGGCGGCCGUAACUAUAACGGUCCUAAGGUAGCGAAAUUCCUUGUCGGGUAAGUUCCGACCUGCACGAAUGGCGUAAUGAUGGCCAGGCUGUCUCCACCCGAGACUCAGUGAAAUUGAACUCGCUGUGAAGAUGCAGUGUACCCGCGGCAAGACGGAAAGACCCCGUGAACCUUUACUAUAGCUUGACACUGAACAUUGAGCCUUGAUGUGUAG
This 1606-nucleotide ribosomal RNA is filed under the name Salmonella enterica. Its description in RNAcentral is "partial 23S ribosomal RNA". It matches the Rfam family "Bacterial large subunit ribosomal RNA", at positions 551 to 2141 of the family's 2925-position model. Lineage: Bacteria; Pseudomonadati; Pseudomonadota; Gammaproteobacteria; Enterobacterales; Enterobacteriaceae. The record is from RNAcentral.